CGGGACGGGUGAGUAACGCGUGGAGAACCUGCCGUAUACUGGGGGAUAACACUUAGAAAUAGGUGCUAAUACCGCAUAAGCGCACAGCUUCGCAUGAAGCAGUGUGAAAAACUCCGGUGGUAUACGAUGGAUCCGCGUCUGAUUAGCUUGUUGGCGGGGUAAAGGCCCACCAAGGCGACGAUCAGUAGCCGGCCUGAGAGGGUGAACGGCCACAUUGGGACUGAGACACGGCCCAAACUCCUACGGGAGGCAGCAG
Molecule: ribosomal RNA, 256 nt
Filed under: uncultured bacterium
Lineage: Bacteria
Description: partial 16S ribosomal RNA
Rfam family: Bacterial small subunit ribosomal RNA
Source: RNAcentral